This is a non-coding RNA of Pangasius djambal, 74 nucleotides long. The record is from the annotation of a GenBank genome assembly. Lineage: Eukaryota; Metazoa; Chordata; Actinopteri; Siluriformes; Pangasiidae.
UUUAUGGUAUUGGUUAAUGGUUAGGCCACAGUGCUCUCACCGCUGCGGCCGGGGUUUGAUUCCCGGCUAGGGAA